UGUCGGGGGAGGAUGGCAGAGGAGAAAUGAAGGCUGUAAAAAGGUCCCCACGUUUCACUCCAAGUCUUGCUUUAGUGCAAGCUCCUACAUAGGGUUAAAGUCUGCUGGGACCUGAACCAGAAUUGGACUCCUGCUGCCUUCCCUAUCCUAUCUCCUCAUAGAAGAUGAGCAGCCCUAGGGGCUACUCCAGAGCCAGAACUCCUGCCACAUCUUCAACAGUGCCCAAGGAGGUGAUUAUGCUGAGUAUGAAGCCCCCAAUUUGGAGAAAUGCAUUUACAUGAGGUCACCACUCCCACAUCAACCAUGAAAAUUGUGUAACGAAACAAUUUUGCCACCAGCCUGAUGCAGGUGACCAAAUCUUAUGGGGAGUGCAGGCCGCUGCCAAAAUAGUUAAUACAACUCCUUUCUAUGUGGUUUCUAAUAAAUAUUUUAAGCACUUAAGUUUUAGUCUAGGU
RNAcentral lists this long non-coding RNA (455 nucleotides) under Crocodylus porosus (Australian saltwater crocodile). Its description in RNAcentral is "lncRNA (ENSCPRG00005005237.1)". Lineage: Eukaryota; Metazoa; Chordata; Crocodylia; Crocodylidae. The record is from RNAcentral.